This 473-nucleotide ribosomal RNA is filed under the name uncultured bacterium. RNAcentral's name for it is "partial 16S ribosomal RNA". It matches the Rfam family "Bacterial small subunit ribosomal RNA", at positions 28 to 507 of the family's 1533-position model. The record is from RNAcentral.
GGUGAACGCUGGCGGCGUGCCUAAGACAUGCAAGUCGAGCGGGCCGCGGGGUUUUACUCCGUGGUCAGCGGCGGACGGGUGAGUAACGCGUGGGUGACCUACCCGGAAGAGGGGGACAACCCGGGGAAACUCGGGCUAAUCCCCCAUGUGGACCCGCCCCUUGGGGUGUGUCCAAAGGGCUUUGCCCGCUUCCGGAUGGGCCCGCGUCCCAUCAGCUAGUUGGUGGGGUAAUGGCCCACCAAGGCGACGACGGGUAGCCGGCCUGAGAGGGUGGCCGGCCACAGGGGCACUGAGACACGGGCCCCACUCCUACGGGAGGCAGCUGUUAGGAAUCUUCCGCAAUGGGCGCAAGCCUGACGGAGCGACGCCGCUUGGAGGAAGAAGCCCUUCGGGGUGUAAACUCCUGAACCCGGGACGAAACCCCCGACGAGGGGACUGACGGUACCGGGGUAAUAGCGCCGGCCAACUCCGUG